UACGGAGGGUGCAAGCGUUAAUCGGAAUUACUGGGCGUAAAGGGUGCGUAGGUGGUUAAAUAAGUUAUCUGUGAAAUCCCUGGGCUUAACCUGGGCAGGUCAGAUAAUACUGUAUAACUCGAGUAUGGGAGAGGGUAGUGGAAUUUCCGGUGUAGCGGUGAAAUGCGUAGAGAUCGGAAGGAACACCAACGGCGAAAGCACUCUGCUGGGCCGACACUGACACUGAGAGACGAAAGCUAGGGGAGCGAAUGGG
This 253-nucleotide ribosomal RNA is filed under the name uncultured bacterium. RNAcentral's name for it is "partial 16S ribosomal RNA". It matches the Rfam family "Bacterial small subunit ribosomal RNA", at positions 524 to 776 of the family's 1533-position model. The record is from RNAcentral.